Molecule: long non-coding RNA, 638 nt
Organism: Helicoverpa armigera (cotton bollworm)
Lineage: Eukaryota; Metazoa; Arthropoda; Insecta; Lepidoptera; Noctuidae
Exons: 2
Source: RefSeq, a predicted model, not a curated record
UCAUAUUUUAAAUAUUCGAACACCUAAGCCUAUUACCUAAAACUAUUCUUUUCUGUCUUUCUCAUCUUGUUUACUCCACGCUUUCAGUAAAUACCUGACACCAUGUUCGUUAUGACAAGGAAGGCCACUGCCAAGGACAUGGAGGUGAAACUGAAGUUAGCCCUGGAAAAGCUCAAAACAUCCGAAGAGCUCUGUCAACAACUGUUAAGGGAACGUGAUGACAGCGAGGAAGAAAUUCAGAAAAUAAUUAGUAAAAACUCUGAAUUAAAGUCUCAACUUGCAGAAUUACACAUCCAAUAUAUGGAUGUGCUGGAUCAGCGGGAUAGGUUACAGGAUUUUAUAAACGCAGAUGGCAGCUCUGAAGUGGAACAAAAGUGCUUUAUUUUUUGUAUUUUUCGGUGUUUUAAAUUAAUAAUUGAUAAAAUAGAAUUGUAUAAUUGUAAAAUAAAUUAAUAAUAAUUAAAUUGUAAUAGACAGCUGUGUUGCUGGGAAGUUUGUUCUUCACCACUUCUUCUUUCCAGCCAUAACACUAGGAAGUGGUGAAAGGGGGGCGUUUUGGGGGUGCUGUCAUUGUAAAAUUUUGACGUUAAAAAGUGCUAAUCGUAUUAGCCUAUUUUAAUAAAUGAUUUUGACUUUGA